Non-coding RNA from Anaerolineae bacterium SG8_19, 117 nucleotides. The record is from Rfam. NCBI's taxonomy places the organism in Bacteria, Bacillati, Chloroflexota, Anaerolineae.
UUUGGUGAUUUGAGCGACGAGGAUACACCCGGUCCCAUCCCGAACCCGGCAGUUAAGCUCGUCAGCGCCGAUGGUACUUGGGGGGCAGCCCCCUGGGAGAGUAGGUCAUUGCCAAAG